This is a long non-coding RNA of Arvicola amphibius (Eurasian water vole), 507 nucleotides long. RefSeq lists it as uncharacterized. The transcript is spliced from 3 exons. The record is from RefSeq and is a predicted model, not a curated record. NCBI's taxonomy places the organism in Eukaryota, Metazoa, Chordata, Mammalia, Rodentia, Cricetidae.
GACCACAUGGAAGUCACCAGCCCUAACCAGCCCAUGUCCCGACCUCAGGCUGAUGAAACUAGGAAGAUGGAGCCUCACCCCCACUGCUUGAAGAGUAUCCUAAUAAAAGACAAAAUAGCUUUCAUAGAUGUUCUGCCCAGGGGAUGUCCCUCAAGAAACUAUGUAAACCACAUUGCUGGUUCUUCCUGGCCCUGCGGUCCAUAAUGAGAAAUGAUUGGCACUAAGCAAGAGUGUGAAAUCGACCCCCUUGGCAAGAUUCAGAAGCACAAGAAGCCUGACAGUGACUGUCUGUCUGUACAGUGUCUAUUUACCUUGUUUGGUAUGAGUUCAUGUGCAGAAUCCAAGGAAAAGGACCAGCAGGCUUGCUGAAGCUGGCCACCGCAGCACCUGGAGAUGGAAAAAGCACGGGACUAGGCGCCUCUCAGAAGCCAAGGGAGAGGACCCUGCACUAGGGAGAAAAGAAGGCCACCUUGAUCAAUUCUACUGGUGCUAACCCCUGCUUCUUCC